AUGAGUGCCGAGAACACUAGAAAUGAUGUUCUUGUCCAAGAAAAUUCCCUGUCUCCAGCAGAUAGGAUGAAUGCAGUAGGAACCAACAUGGAAAGUCUUACAAGAGUAGAACUCGACCUUGCAUUUGCCUCUGAGAAGUUGCUAAAUUUGGAGAUGCUGGUGAUGGAAAUAGCUCGCCGAGCUACUGAUUUUGAGCCUCUUACCUUGGAAAGUGGAUCUGUUUCUUCUGAGACUGCUGAGGAUGCCUUCGAGUUGGACACCUUGUAUGGUAUUCUUGAUGCAGAAGUCCAAGAGUUAGAUGACAUGAUCAGUUCUCUUCAGAUUGAUGCUAAAAAUGUUGAGGACAAGGUUUAUGACGAAGAAUCUGGAGGCAAGGUUAAAGCUAAGCUGGAUGCUGCUAUGGCUUCUUUGAAACAGAUGCAGGAUCUAAUUGCCGAUAUCAGAAAGGAGUCUGCAAAGUUCGAGAAACCCAUUGAGUUUUCCAGCGACCAAGCAGGCAUUGCUGAGCAUGGUGUGUGUGAAAAUGGUCAUAUGUCAUCCGUCACUAGCAUGCAUACAGAAGAUGAACGAAGAAAUGUUCUGCAGAUGUUAGAGCAAUCGAUAGCAAGUGAGCUAGAUCUUGAAAAGAAGCUCUCUGAUUCAAGAUAUGCUGUAGAAGAACUUAAAAUGAAGCUUCGUCUUCAAACACAAGAAGCAUCUUUUCUGGAGGAAUUAACAGAAACAAAUUCGGGGAGAUUGUUUGAAGCAGAAAAUGCUUCUGAGGUACUCCUGGGAACUUCCAGGGAACUUAUAAAUGAACUUAAUACCAUACAGGUCCGUUUAAGUGCAUCAAGAUCUAGAGAAGAUGAUCUCAAUUCGAAGUUAGAACGCAGCUUGAUGGAACUGUCUUCUCUGAAAUUAAACCAAGAGAAGAUGCAAGAAGAGAGCAAAAAGGUUGAAACUGAAGAAGCUGUGCAGAACCAGGCACGAUCAAACCCUGAAUUGUUAUCCUUGCAGCAUCAGGUUGAAGAGCUAGAAAAACAUUUCGGGGAAUCUAAUUCACAGUUGUUGUUGGAAAAGGUAUCAUCAGAAGUAAGUCAGGAGAAAGAGAAUGUGAUGCUCAGUGAGCUAAGCACGCUGGAAAGUACCAUUAAGAAUCUCAAAGCUGAUGUCCUAAGAGCUGAAAACAGAGCGCAAAAUGCUGAAGUAAGGUGCAUGCAGCUAACAAAAGAUAAUGUAGAGCUCAGUGGGGAGUUAAGCUCUCUUAAAAGCCAGGGUUCGGAUAAGGCCCGUCUUUUGGAGAGGGAAUUGUCGGAGUCAAAUGCCCAGCUGGAGCAUGCAAAGGCAUCAGUUGCUGCCUUUGCUGAACAGCAGGGUAUGCUGAAAUCUACAGUAUCUGACAUGGAACAUAUGAUUGAAGAUUUGAAAGGAAAGGUUUCAAAAUCCGAAACCAGAGCCCAAAACGCUGAAUCAAAGUGUGCAUUAUUAGGAGACACCAAUUUAGAGCUUAGUGAAGAGCUAUCGUUUCUGAGAGGCCGAGUUGAACGCCUAGAGAGCUCGUUACAUGAAGCUAACCAUGUGAAAGUAGCAACCAUCAAGGACAUUGGUGUCAGAACUAAAGUUAUUACUGAAUUGGUCACGAAACUUGCAAUGGAAAGAGAACGACUUCAUCUCCAGAUUUCUACGUUAACAAAGAAGAACAAGGUAUUGGCUCACAAGUGCAAAGGAACCAGUGUCAAGGAUGGCACAAAGUUGUACAAAAAUGCUACUGGUAAAGAUGCCGAACUUCAGUUCACUACAUCGGCCGAGGAAAUAGUUUCAGAUUCUUCAUCAGCACAGAAUGUGGCGGAGAAAGCCGCGGAUCUUAUCGACGGCAAGGUGGAAGCGGAGGGAAGCACCGGAGGAGAGGAGGAGGAGGAGGACUCCGCCGACGAGGGCGCGCUGCGGACCAUAAAGCCGUCGGCCGCGCUCGGCUGGAAGUACGUCGCCGCGGCGCUCCUCGCGGUGGUGGCCGCCGUCGUCGUGUGCCACCUGCUGCUUGAGAACGGCUGGGAAGGGCGCAUGGCCUAA
Molecule: ribosomal RNA, 2049 nt
Filed under: Triticum aestivum (bread wheat)
Lineage: Eukaryota; Viridiplantae; Streptophyta; Magnoliopsida; Poales; Poaceae
Description: partial small subunit ribosomal RNA
Source: RNAcentral